RNAcentral lists this ribosomal RNA (252 nucleotides) under uncultured bacterium. Its description in RNAcentral is "partial 16S ribosomal RNA". It matches the Rfam family "Bacterial small subunit ribosomal RNA", at positions 524 to 776 of the family's 1533-position model. The record is from RNAcentral.
UACGUAGGUGGCGAGCGUUAUCCGGAAUGAUUGGGCGUAAAGGGUGCGUAGGCGGCCUGCUAAGUCUGGAGUGAAAGGUACCGGCUCAACCGGUACAGGCUCUGGAAACUGGCGGGCUAGAGAGCAGGAGAGGGCGGUGGAACUCCGUGUGUAGCGGUGAAAUGCGUAGAUAUAUGGAGGAACACCGGUGGCGAAAGCGGCUCUCUGGCCUGUAACUGACACUGAGGCUCGAAAGCGUGGGGAGCAAACAGG